UGAGUAACACGUGGGUGAUCUGCCCUGCACUUUGGGAUAAGCCUGGGAAACUGGGUCUAAUACCGAAUAUUCCUUGCUGGCCGCAUGGUCUGGUGGGGGAAAGCUUUUGCGGUGUGGGAUGAGCCCGCGGCCUAUCAGCUUGUUGGUGGGGUGAUGGCCUACCAAGGCGACGACGGGUAGCCGGCCUGAGAGGGUGUCCGGCCACACUGGGACUGAGAUACGGCCCAGACUCCUACGGGAGGCAGCAGUGGGGAAUAUUGCACAAUGGGCGCAAGCCUGAUGCAGCGACGCCGCGUGGGGGAUGACGGCCUUCGGGUUGUAAACCUCUUUCAGUACCGACGAAGCGCAAGUGACGGUAGGUACAGAAGAAGCACCGGCCAACUACGUGCCAGCAGCCGCGGUAAUACGUAGGGUGCGAGCGUUGUCCGGAAUUACUGGGCGUAAAGAGCUCGUAGGUGGUUUGUCGCGUUGUCCGUGAAAACUCACAGCUUAACUGUGGGCGUGCGGGCGAUACGGGCAGACUGGAGUACUGCAGGGGAGACUGGAAUUCCUGGUGUAGCGGUGGAAUGCGCAGAUAUCAGGAGGAACACCGGUGGCGAAGGCGGGUCUCUGGGCAGUAACUGACGCUGAGGAGCGAAAGCGUGGGGAGCGAACAGGAUUAGAUACCCUGGUAGUCCACGCCGUAAACGGUGGGUACUAGGUGUGGGUUUCCUUCCUUGGGAUCCGUGCCGUAGCUAACGCAUUAAGUACCCCGCCUGGGGAGUACGGCCGCAAGGCUAAAACUCAAAGGAAUUGACGGGGGCCCGCACAA
Molecule: ribosomal RNA, 811 nt
Filed under: Mycobacterium sp.
Lineage: Bacteria; Bacillati; Actinomycetota; Actinomycetes; Mycobacteriales; Mycobacteriaceae
Description: bacterial SSU rRNA
Rfam family: Bacterial small subunit ribosomal RNA
Source: RNAcentral